GACAGAGGCCCCGAGCGUUAGGCGGAAUCACUGGGCUUAAAGCGCGUGUAGGCGGAGGGCUAAGUACCUUGUGAAAUCCCCGGGCUCAACCCGGGAACUGCUUGGUAUACUGGUCCUCUUGAGGCAUCUAGGGGCGAACGGAACAAACGGUGGAGCGGUGAAAUGCGUAGAUAUCGUUUGGAACGCCAACGGUGAAAACAGCUCGCUGGGGAUGUCCUGACGCUGAGACGCGAAAGCCAGGGGAGCGAACGGG
Molecule: ribosomal RNA, 253 nt
Filed under: uncultured bacterium
Lineage: Bacteria
Description: partial 16S ribosomal RNA
Rfam family: Bacterial small subunit ribosomal RNA
Source: RNAcentral